This 466-nucleotide ribosomal RNA is filed under the name Vreelandella stevensii. RNAcentral's name for it is "partial 16S ribosomal RNA". It matches the Rfam family "Bacterial small subunit ribosomal RNA", at positions 338 to 795 of the family's 1533-position model. Lineage: Bacteria; Pseudomonadati; Pseudomonadota; Gammaproteobacteria; Oceanospirillales; Halomonadaceae. The record is from RNAcentral.
CCUACGGGGUGCUGCAGUGGGGAAUAUUGGACAAUGGGCGAAAGCCUGAUCCAGCCAUGCCGCGUGUGUGAAGAAGGCCUUCGGGUUGUAAAGCACUUUCAGUGGGGAAGAAAGCCUUGGGGCUAAUACCCUCGAGGAAGGACAUCACCCACAGAAGAAGCACCGGCUAACUCCGUGCCAGCAGCCGCGGUAAUACGGGAGGGUGCGAGCGUUAAUCGGAAUUACUGGGCGUAAAGCGCGCGUAGGCGGUCUGAUAAGCCGGUUGUGAAAGCCCCGGGCUCAACCUGGGAACGGCAUCCGGAACUGUCAGGCUAGAGUGCAGGAGAGGAAGGUAGAAUUCCCGGUGUAGCGGUGAAAUGCGUAGAGAUCGGGAGGAAUACCAGUGGCGAAGGCGGCCUUCUGGACUGACACUGACGCUGAGGUGCGAAAGCGUGGGUAGCAAACAGGAUUAGAUACCCCAGUAGUC